ACACUCAGUCAGCAGCGGCAGCAGAAAAGCAGCUCCAGCAAAGGGAAGGGAACAGCAAAAGACUCUUUCCUUUCCAAGCUUGCCGAGGAGUACAUGGAGCUGUCAGAGUACAACCUCAGACAUGAGCAGCCAUGGCAGGAAUGGUGAGAUGGAUCCAAAGGCAGAACCAGGCCAGUUUAUGUCUCUCCUGGAUAAGGGAGUCAGCCCCAUCACUGAGGUAGUUGGCACUCACAGGCCUUUCCAAAACCCAGAAGAGGAAAUUCCCAAAUGGAUCCUUACUGCAGAAUGACCUCACUGGCUGGAUGAACAUGCUGGAUGCUCCUUGAAUAAACCAUACCUUGGCAAAC
Molecule: long non-coding RNA, 347 nt
Organism: Lonchura striata (white-rumped munia)
Lineage: Eukaryota; Metazoa; Chordata; Aves; Passeriformes; Estrildidae
Source: RefSeq, a predicted model, not a curated record